GAGGAGUAGGUCAGACGAAACUCGAAUCUGGACACCUUAAACGUGGAUAUUUGGAAGAGGGAUGUGCCUCGGUAGAGUUUCAGAUGUUAUCGGAAAGCGGACAGGUACGGAGCACGUCUAUCUUGACGCCAGCGAUGAGCUACCAGCAACACACCUGCUCCACCGCCAGCCAGGGAUUCGGGUGCCUCCUCAGUUGCUUACCAUCCUCUGCAUACUGCCCCACUCCCCGCACCUGUGGAUGCCUCCUAACACUGGGCGAGGCCACAACACACCGUGAAUCCAGCUGCUAGCUGUCUCCACACCUGCCCAGGGUGCCAGGAGAAGGUAUGUUGGCAAGACUAUAAAUUCAUGGUGACCAGCCCCUGCUGUGCCUCCAUAGUCCUACCCCUUUUCUCUCAUGUCUUGCUUUUUCACUAUCUACCUCAACUACUUUCACACCUUCACCACCUUUCUCACUUAUAAUUUCCUCCUCCUUCCCCCUUACCUCCUACUUCACAGAGAACAUAGAAGUCAGUAACUGUGAACCACUUCAGCUUUCUGUAGCAGACCUAUCUGCAUCCACACCCAUCUUUUCUUCUCUCUGGACACAACAAAUAACAUGUGCUUCUUGUCUAAGUUCAGUUCAUUCACUUAGGCUCUGAAUCUUAUUCUCUCACAUUUUCUUGGAAAUCUUUUGCUAUCUAUUAAUCUCACUCUUUCUCACUUUUACUCCUACUCUCUUUCCCCUCCUUCUCUGCCACUCUCUUCUCAUUUAAACAUGCUGACAUCUGUAGGGUUUUUUUGUUUUGUUUUGUUUUUUUUGAGACGAGGUUUCAACUCUGUCGCUUAGGCUGGAGUGCAAUGGCAUGAUCUUGGCUCACUGCAACCUCCACCAACCGGCUCAAGCAAUUCUCUUGCCUCAGCCUCCCAAAGAUGCUUCCUUGAUCUCCUAUGCAUGUCCAUCUAUUAUUCUAUCUCCUCUAUAGCAAAACUUCUUUAAAGAGUAUGUGCUUUUGUUGUCUCUAUUUUCUCACCUGUUACUCUUCAAAUUAUCCCCAUUGAAAUUCCAAACCUAUCAUCUCUUGAAAUGUCUCACUCUAAGGUCACGAAAACGUCCAUGUGGCUAAAGCCGAAGUUCCCGCCUUACUUGGCCUCUGCAGCAUUCAUCACAAUGAAUCACUCCCUUCUGUUUGACUUCUGAGACCACCUCCCCUUGGUUGAUUCUCUCCUCUCUGGUCCGUCUUUUCAGAUACGUUUGUUUGCCUUUUCUUCUACCCAAACAUUAAAUAAAGGAGUUUUUCAAGGCUUGGUCUUGGGACAUGUUCUUGUCUGACUCUGUGCUCUUUCCCUGUCCCAUAGGUUCAGCUAUCACACAUAUGCUGAUGAAUCCUACAUUUUUAUGUCUGCAACCUUAACCCCUGUAUCCACUGGCUCCUUGGCAUCAGUGCUGACUGUGUCACAGGCUCCUCAGUCUGAAUUGCACUCAGUUCUUU
This 1472-nucleotide long non-coding RNA is filed under the name Aotus nancymaae (Ma's night monkey). RNAcentral describes it as "lncRNA (ENSANAG00000039229.1)". The record is from RNAcentral. Lineage: Eukaryota; Metazoa; Chordata; Mammalia; Primates; Aotidae.